Molecule: ribosomal RNA, 119 nt
Filed under: Lupinus angustifolius (narrow-leaved blue lupine)
Lineage: Eukaryota; Viridiplantae; Streptophyta; Magnoliopsida; Fabales; Fabaceae
Source: RNAcentral
AGGUGCGAUCAUACCCGCACUAAUGCACCAGAUCCCAUCAGAACUCCGUAGUCAAGCGUGCUUGUGCGAGAGUGGUACUGGGAUGGGUGACCUCCUGGGAAGUCCUCUUGUUGCACCUC